GAAAGCAGGAGCAAUCUUGUGAGUACAGUGGUUNAUGGCUGAGUAACACGAGAAAAAUCUACCUCCUUGUGGGGAAUAACUUUGGGAAACCGGAGCUAAUACCGCAUAAGCUCGAGAGAGGAAAGCAGCAAUGCGCAGGGAGAGGAGCCCGCGGCCGAUUAGCUAGUUGGCAGGGUAAAAGCCUACCAAGGCAAAGAUCGGUAGCCGGCCUGAGAGGGCACACGGCCACACUGGCACUGUAUUCACGGGCCAGACUCCUACGGGAGGCAGCAUUGGG
Molecule: ribosomal RNA, 277 nt
Filed under: uncultured Acidobacteriota bacterium
Lineage: Bacteria; Pseudomonadati; Acidobacteriota
Description: uncultured Acidobacteria bacterium partial 16S ribosomal RNA
Rfam family: Bacterial small subunit ribosomal RNA
Source: RNAcentral